UACAGAGGGUGCAAGCGUUAAUCGGAAUUACUGGGCGUAAAGCGCGCGUAGGCGGCUUGACAAGUCGAGUGUGAAAUCCCCGGGCUUAACCUGGGACCUGCAUUCGAAACUGUCUUGCUAGAGUAUGGGAGAGGGAAGUGGAAUUUCAGGUGUAGCGGUGAAAUGCGUAGAUAUCAGGAGGAACACCUGCGGUGUAGACGGCUUUCUGGACCAUUACUGACACUGAGACACGAAAGCGUGGGUAGCAAACAGG
This 253-nucleotide ribosomal RNA is filed under the name uncultured bacterium. RNAcentral describes it as "partial 16S ribosomal RNA". It matches the Rfam family "Bacterial small subunit ribosomal RNA", at positions 524 to 776 of the family's 1533-position model. The record is from RNAcentral.